UUGGGGAAACCAAGUUGCAUCAAGUUCAAGGAACAGGUCUCCACUUGCACGGUGUCUGUAGCAGAACCAGGACCAGAAUUUUUGAUCUUUGACUGUUGCUCUAGAUGCUCAACUACUUUGUACUCUGUGCUUUGUUUGGGUGGAAGGAGACUUGCCUGAAACCUGGCACGGAUCUCUACUGAUUAGAAGCUGCUACUCUGACAGUUAUUUAAUGUUUCAGAAGCAAGGAGCUGGUGGGAAAAACUCUGCCAUUUGGUACAGAAGAAGGUUUGUUCCUCCAUUAGUUAAGGAUUUUGUGGCACCUGGCUUGGAUUCAGCCAACCGGACAAAGAGGAAACAGACCUCACAUCUUGACCUUUCUCCUGCACCCAGGCAAUGCUUCAGAUGGAGGACGAUGUGGAUGGCACUGGAUUUCGUGGCAGAAGGAAAGAGUGCAGGAGACUACUCCCCAGUUCACUUGAUUUUUACCUGAUGAUUUACAAGCUGUGAAGCAUGAUUUGAAAUUUGACAUGGAUCUGCAGUCACACAAAGGAAGCAAGACCAAGCUUUCAAUUCUUACGGUCAGUGGGAGGGAAUCAAAUACCCUGGUCUUGCAGCGAAAGAGAGCUGCUAGGUUGCAGGUUGAAAACUAUAGGUUGAAGGUUUUAAACUCAUUUUGACUAAUAUGCUCCUGUCUUUGCUGAAAAUGUGGAAUAGAUUUCAAAACAUUAUGAGGAAGAAAUGUUUGUCUCUUCAUGCAAGCAGGACACUGACUGUCCUCUGAACAUCAAAAACUCUCUAUAUAUGAUGCUUCAACAAAUCCAAAAUAUUAGAAGACAAUUUUUUUCUUCUGAACCCAUAUUACAUUCCUAAGUAUGUGACCAGACUUUAAAGGUACUUAGAUAUUUUAAUUAUUUAUCUGAUAAAAAAUAAAAAAAUAAAAAAAGCAAAAACUCUGGAUGGC
RNAcentral lists this long non-coding RNA (943 nucleotides) under Anser brachyrhynchus (Pink-footed goose). RNAcentral describes it as "lncRNA (ENSABRG00000016071.1)". Lineage: Eukaryota; Metazoa; Chordata; Aves; Anseriformes; Anatidae. The record is from RNAcentral.